UUGCUCUUCAACGAGGAAUGCCUAGUAGGCACGAGUCAUCAGCUCGUGCCGAUUACGUCCCUGCCCUUUGUACACACCGCCCGUCGCUACUACCGAUUGAAUGGCUCAGUGAGGCCUUGGGAUUGGCUUAGGAGGGUUGGCAACGANCCCCCCAGAGCCGAAAACUUGGUCAAACUCGGUCAUUUAGAGGAAGUAAAAGUCGUAACAAGGUUUCCGUAGGUGAACCUGCGGAAGGAUCAUUACCGAGUGAGGGCCCUCUGGGUCCAACCUCCCACCCGUGUUUAUUUUACCUUGUUGCUUCGGCGGGCCCGCCUUAACUGGCCGCCGGGGGGCUUACGCCCCCGGGCCCGCGCCCGCCGAAGACACCCUCGAACUCUGUCUGAAGAUUGUAGUCUGAGUGAAAAUAUAAAUUAUUUAAAACUUUCAACAACGGAUCUCUUGGUUCCGGCAUCGAUGAAGAACGCAGCGAAAUGCGAUACGUAAUGUGAAUUGCAAAUUCAGUGAAUCAUCGAGUCUUUGAACGCACAUUGCGCCCCCUGGUAUUCCGGGGGGCAUGCCUGUCCGAGCGUCAUUGCUGCCCUCAAGCACGGCUUGUGUGUUGGGCCGCCGUCCCGGGGGACUUUUCUGCCCCGCGGGACGGGCCCGAAAGGCAGCGGCGGCACCGUGUCCGGUCCUCGAGCGUAUGGGGCUCUGUCACCCGCUCUGGUAGGCCCGGCCGGCGCGCCAGCCCUUCUCAACCAUUUUUGUUCUUUCUCCAGGUUGACCUCGGAUCAGGUAGGGAUACCCGCUGAACUUAAGCAUAUCAAUAAGCGGAGGA
RNAcentral lists this ribosomal RNA (817 nucleotides) under uncultured fungus. RNAcentral's name for it is "eukaryotic LSU rRNA". The stretch from base 1 to 242 matches the Rfam family "Eukaryotic small subunit ribosomal RNA", at positions 1593 to 1831 of the family's 1831-position model. Lineage: Eukaryota; Fungi. The record is from RNAcentral.